This 838-nucleotide unclassified non-coding RNA is filed under the name Exophiala caementiphila. Its description in RNAcentral is "sequence contains 28S rRNA gene". It matches the Rfam family "Eukaryotic large subunit ribosomal RNA", at positions 74 to 925 of the family's 3401-position model. The record is from RNAcentral. Lineage: Eukaryota; Fungi; Ascomycota; Eurotiomycetes; Chaetothyriales; Herpotrichiellaceae.
AUUGCCUCAGUAACGGCGAGUGAAGCGGCAUCAGCUCAAAUUUGUAAUCUGGCCUCUUUGGGGUCCGAGUUGUAAUUUGUAGAGGAUGUUUCGGGUACCGCCUCGGCCUAAAUUUCUUGGAACAGAAUGUCAAAGAGGGUGAGAAUCCCGUCUUGGACCGGCGGUAGGGCCCAUGUGAAACUCCUUCGACGAGUCGAGUUGUUUGGGAAUGCAGCUCAAAAUGGGUGGUAAAUUUCAUCUAAAGCUAAAUACCUGCCAGAGACCGAUAGCGCACAAGUAGAGUGAUCGAAAGAUGAAAAGCACUUUGAAAAGAGAGUUAAACAGUAUGUGAAAUUGUUGAAAGGGAAGCGCUUACAACCAGACUUGAGCGCGGCGGUUCCCCCUUCCUUCUGGUUGGGUUAUUCCGUCGUGUCCAGACCAACAUCGGUUCUGGGGGCCGGUCAAAGGCUCUGGGAAUGUACCUACGUCUUCGGAUGUAGACUUAUAGCCCAGGGUGUCAUGCGGCCUCCCGGGACCGAGGAACGCGCUUCGGCACGGAUGUUGGUGCAAUGGUUGUCAGCGACCCGUCUUGAAACACGGACCAAGGAGUCUAACAUCUAUGCGAGUGUUUGGGUGUCAAACCCGGAACGCGGAAUGAAAGUGAACGGAGGUAGGAAGCCUUAAGGCUGCACUAUCGACCGAUCCUGAUGUCUUCGGAUGGAUUUGAGUAAGAGCAUAGCUGUUGGGACCCGAAAGAUGGUGAACUAUGCCUGAAUAGGGUGAAGCCAGAGGAAACUCUGGUGGAGGCUCGCAGCGGUUCUGACGUGCAAAUCGAUCGUCAAAUUUAGGUAUAGGGGCG